CAAAGAAUAGUUUAUUUCAAAAUCUUA
This 27-nucleotide transfer RNA is filed under the name Ammodytes personatus (Pacific sandeel). RNAcentral's name for it is "partial tRNA-Pro". The record is from RNAcentral. Lineage: Eukaryota; Metazoa; Chordata; Actinopteri; Uranoscopiformes; Ammodytidae.